UGGGGAAUAUUGGGCAAUGGGCGAAAGCCUGACCCAGCCAUGCCGCGUGAGUGAUGAAGGCCUUCGGGUCGUAAAGCUCUGUGGGGAGGGACGAAACAGCCUCGGGAUAAUACCCACGCGCCUUGACGGUACCUCCUUAGCAAGCACCGGCUAACUCCGUGCCAGCAGCCGCGGUAAUACGGAGGGUGCAAACGUUGCUCGGAAUCAUUGGGCGUAAAGCGCACGUAGGCGGUCCGGAAAGUCGGGUGUGAAAUCCCUCGGCUCAACCGAGGAAGUGCAUUCGAAACUUCCGGACUUGAAUAUGGAAGAGGGUCGCGGAAUUCCCGGUGUAGAGGUGAAAUUCGUAGAUAUCGGGAGGAACACCAGUGGCGAAGGCGGCGACCUGGGCCAAUAUUGACGCUGAGGUGCGAAAGCGUGGGGAGCAAACAGGAUUAGAUACCCCCGUAGUCC
This 450-nucleotide ribosomal RNA is filed under the name uncultured bacterium. RNAcentral's name for it is "bacterial SSU rRNA". It matches the Rfam family "Bacterial small subunit ribosomal RNA", at positions 355 to 796 of the family's 1533-position model. The record is from RNAcentral.